Molecule: ribosomal RNA, 1550 nt
Filed under: Corynorhinus rafinesquii (Rafinesque's big-eared bat)
Lineage: Eukaryota; Metazoa; Chordata; Mammalia; Chiroptera; Vespertilionidae
Description: 16S ribosomal RNA
Rfam family: Bacterial large subunit ribosomal RNA
Source: RNAcentral
ACUAGACACAGCUCAAAACAAACCACACAAAACCACCCAAACAAACAAAAACAAAGCAUUUACAAAAUUAAAGUAUAGGAGAUAGAAAUUAUAUUUGACGCCAUAGAGAUAGUACCGCAAGGGAACUGAUGAAAGAGAACUAUAAGUAAAAAAUAGCAAAGCUUAACUCUUGUACCUUUUGCAUAAUGAUUCAACUAGAAAGCCUUAGCAAAAAGAAUUUAAGUUAAAAACCCCGAAACCAGACGAGCUACCUAAUAGCAACUUUAAGGGUGAACUCAUCUAUGUGGCAAAAUAGUGAGACGACUUUUAGGUAGAGGCGAAAAACCUAUCGAGCCUGGUGAUAGCUGGUUGUCCAGAAAAGAAUCUUAGUUCUAACCCGAAUCUGCCUAAAAUAAAAACAAAUAAAAUGCAGGCUUGGAUUAUAGUCUAAAAGGGUACAGCCUUUUAGACACGGGAUACAACCCCCAUUAGAGAGCAAGAAUAAACAAACCACCAUAGUUGGCCUAAGAGCAGCCACCAAAUAAGACAGCGUUAAAGCUCAACAGCACCCACAACCCAAUUCCAACUAAUAACAACAAACCUCCUAACACACAAACUGGACCACUCUAUUGCACAAUAGAAGAGACAAUGUUGAUAUGAGUAACAAGAAAUAUUUCUCCCCGCACAUGUGUAUAUCCGAACGAAUAAGUCACUGAUAGUUAACAAAACGAACAUACACAACUACUAGCCCACCUAUCAAUUGUUAGCCCAACACAGGAGUGCUACCAGGGAAAGAUUAAAAAAAGUAAAAGGAACUAGGCAAAUAUAAACCCCGCCUGUUUACCAAAAACAUCACCUCUAGCAUAAAAAGUAUUAGAGGCACUGCCUGCCCGGUGACCUUAGUUUAACGGCCGCGGUAUCCUGACCGUGCAAAGGUAGCAUAAUCACUUGUUCUCUAAAUAGGGACUUGUAUGAAUGGCCCCACGAGGGUUUGACUGUCUCUUACUUUUAAUCAGUGAAAUUGACAUUCUCGUGAAGAGGCGAGAAUAAUACAAUUAGACGAGAAGACCCUAUGGAGCUUUAAUUAACCGACCCAUAAAAUGCAUCAACCACCCACAGGGCAUAACCCCCUUUUUACUGAGUCGGUAAUUUAGGUUGGGGUGACCUCGGAGUACAAAUAAACCUCCGAGAAAAACAAUCUAGACACACAAGUCAAAAUCAACAUAACACACUGAUCCGCUACAGCGAUCAACGAAAUAAGUUACCCUAGGGAUAACAGCGCAAUCCUAUUUAAGAGUCCAUAUCGACAAUUAGGGUUUACGACCUCGAUGUUGGAUCAGGACAUCCCAAUGGUGCAGCAGCUAUUAAUGUGUUCGUUUGUUCAACGAUUAAAGUCCUACGUGAUCUGAGUUCAGACCGGAGUAAUCCAGGUCGGUUUCUAUCUAUUCUAAAGUCCCUCCCAGUACGAAAGGACAAGAGAGACAGGGCCCACUUAAAUUAAGCGCCCUAAAACAACAGAUGAAUUCAUCUUAAUCACACUAUAUACAAAAACCCCCAAGAACAGGGGCUCG